AAACAUAUUCACUAUGAAGAUGAAAACAGCCGCUACAUAACCAUUGGAUGUGUGGAGAAGGUGCUAUGCAUGUUGGCUUGCUGGGUCGAAGACCCUGGCGGCCAUUAUUUCAAGAAACACCUUGCUAGGAUUCCAGAUUAUCUUUCGGUUGCUGAGGAUGGAAUGAAAAUGCAGGGUUUUGGAAGCCAGCAGUGGGAUACUUGAUUUGGAAUUCAGGCACUGAUUGCUACUAAUUUCACACAAGAAAUUGGAGACGUGUUAAAGAGAGGCCAUAACUUCAUAAAGGAAUCUCAAGUGAAGGAGAAUCCUUCAGGCGACUUCAAGAGCAUGCACAGGCAUAUUUCAAAGGGAUCAUGGACUUUCUCUGACCAAGAUCAAGAAUGGCAAGUUUCUGACUGCACUGCCGAAGGACUUAAGUGUUGCCUUCUUUUCUCAAUGAUGCCGCCAGAGAUUGUUGGUGACAAAAUGGAGCCUCAACAGUUGUACGAUGCUGUCAAUAUCCUUCUUUCUCUGCAGGUUCCCGUCAAUCUCUUCCUCUUUCUAUGAUAUAUAUAUAUAUAUAUAUAUAUAUAUAUAUAUGAUGUAUAUAUUUAUUUUUGAACAAAUUCAUUAAUUCAUUGAUGCAGAGUAAAAAUGGAGGCUUAGCAGCAUGGGAGCCUGCUGGGGCUCAAGAAUGGUUAGAAGUGAGUGACUUUUUUUUCCUUUUUUUUUAAUGUUUUUUAGCGUUUUAAUUCAAUGACCAAUGGGCGCAACUAUAUUAAUCAAUUCAUGUAAUUUUGUCCUGGAUGACUGCAAAUUUUCAGAUAUUAAAUCCUACAGAAUUUUUCGCUGACAUUGUGAUUGAGCAUGAAUAUGUGGCGUGCACUUCAUCCGCAAUCCACGCCGAGGAGAAAGCUACCUUUCAUGCCCUCAGAAAGUACGAUACAAUUAUAUGAUUUUAAUUAAUUUGGUGUCAAAAGUCAAGAAAACAAGUGGCUAAACGUAAGUUGCUGUGCAGAAAUAUGUAGCUCUGGAAGGAAAGCGAUCAAAUUUGGUACAUACAGCUUGGGCAAUGACUUGGGCAAUGAUGGGUCUGAUGGGACUGCGCGAAUCACCCAACCCCGAAUUAGUAUGAUAUUGUCCGUUUUGAGCAAGCCUUCAUGGUUUUAUUUUUGGGCACCUUCCAAAAGGUUUUAUACUAAUAAGUUGGGUUUGAACCAUUAUAUUUUGGUUUCACUUUUCACAUUUUUCCGAUGCGGGACUUGAGAGGAUAUCCCAACAGGGUCUAAUCAGCGCAGGACAGGUGAGUGGUCUGAAAUGACUAUAUAUGUAUUACAGCCUGGUUUUAUUGUAUGUCGUGUAAUUGUGAUGGAUAUAAUCAUUAUUGAAGCAGAUGGAUAGAGACCCUACACCUCUUCACCGAGCUGCAACGCUGAUAAUUAAUUCCCAAUUGGAAGAUGGAGAUUUUCCUCAACAGGUAUAUAUCUAUAGGGAGGAUCACUUUAAACAGUUAUGUUUAUUUGAUUUCUAUUUAUGUUGUGUGAUUUCUAUUUCCUCAACAGGAAAUCACAGGGGUGUUCAUGAAGAACUGCAUGUUACACUAUGCAGCAUACAGGAACAUCUAUCCAUUAUGGGCUCUGGCAGAAUACAGAAACCGAGUUCCAUUGCCUUCAACACCCAUCUAAUUAGAAUUAAUUCCUUCACUCUCACAUCAUGUGAUACUAUGUACUGAAAGUUUCUGUAUUUCCAGAAAUAUAUAUAUACACACACUAAUUAAUCCUGCUAUUAAAUGAAAAACUAAGUAAUGUGAAAGGUUAAAAAAUUUUGAUUGGACUCUACUAGAAAUAUGAUGAUGGUAGGAUGACUCCAUGUCCCCAUUAAAUCAGAGUUCAAAAGGUUGAGGAAGUCACUUUCCUUCAGCUGCAUCGAAAUGUAUAUACAUCGCACGUAGAAGAAAAUAAAUGAAUUUAAAAGAAAAAAAAUAAUAUUCAAUUAGUUUGAAAUUAAAAAUUUCAGUCUUGGACAAAAAUUGAUAUUGACAUGCAGCUGCAAAUAGAUUUAGAAAGAAAGAAAGAAACUGACUUUAUUUUUAUUUUCUUUUUUCUGUCGUCGAUCGAACCAUGAAGAAUUUUACAUUAUGCCAAUUUUUGUACCCAAAUAACAAAUAAAAUAUUCUUAGUAACUACAUAUAUAUAUUUUCUUUUAUUACGUGUUAAAGAGGAAAAUGGUAAAUUGAUAUAUACAGAUAUCUACCAACUAAUAUAUGGACGGACCCCUAGUUAGACAAUAAUUACAAUGAGUUGAAAUCCAAUCAAUUGAUUAGAAGAAAGUAUUUUACUUGCUAUUGUUAAUAGUAAAAAUAAAAGUGAACAAUAGGUCUUCUUUGGCCAUAAAAAGGAGGGUGAGCUUGUUGAUCUUGUCGGUACAGAGCUCUCUACUCUUCUAUUACUUUCUUGAAAACCAUUUUACCUAUAUAUGUUGUUCAUAGGUUGCUUCUGUGAAGGAAGUACCAGAGCGAAGAGAUUGAUUUGAUCACUGUUCGAAAGGCUUAAUUUCUCAUAAUAUUGAUUGUUAUAUAGGAAGAACCAUCUGCUAGAAACAGGUACGUUGAAGAUAAUAUAAUAUGAGUACAGUGUUCCUGCACAAUUCAUAUAAUUAAUUAAUAAGAAUCACAGAUUGUAUUUGAGAAAGAAAGAUAGAGAAGAAUGUGGAGGCUAAAGAUAGCAGAAGGUGGCAACGAGCCAUACUUAUACAGCACUAACAACUACGUAGGAAGGCAAAUAUGGGAGUUCGAUCCUGAUGCAGGGACUCCUGAGGAGCGUGCUGCGGUGGAACAAGUUCGUCAAAAUUUCUACAACAACCGGCAUCAGGUCAAGCCCAGCAGUGACCUUCUCUGGCGUAUGCAGGUGGGUUUUUUUUCUUUUACUUGUUUAUUUUUUUAACAUACAGAUAACAUAUGCAUGUAAUGUUUGCUUGUUCUUGUUUGGAGAAGAGAAUUGGCUUAUUUAAACCCGGUCUAUCCAUGAGUAGAUGCACAAAUUUAGUCCAAUAUUGACAACAUCAUUAUUCCAUAUUGGUGUUGAGAAUUUAGGACCUACCAUCAAAUUAAUUAAAGUAUUAGUAAUUUAUUUAAUAAACUUAUUUUUAACACAAAAUAGUCUAAUUUAUUUUGAUUGAUUACCUUUUUAAUUAUAUGUCGUUUAUUUAAUUUAUAUUUAUUGAAACGCGUCAUCAGUUAUUUUAAAGAAGCUCUCUCCAUAGAAUCAAAUAUCACUGCUUUUCUUUUUUUUAUAUAUAUAUAUAUGAGUUACGGGUACCCCCGACCUAUUAUGAGGAAUUGACUAAAUCAGGAUAAGGAUUUAGUAAAUAUCAUCAAUUUUCGGCGGCUAUUUCUAGGCGGUAAAAUUACAGAAGUAGCCUUUUAAUUACAUAAAUGUCCAAUAUUGAGUUUUUUUUUUUCUUUGAAAUGAAAAUAGUUCUUAUUUUGUCGGCUAUUUCUUAGUUUGUCGUUACGCUCUGGCGAUAAACAUAGACAGAAAUUGAUAAAAAUAGUUCUCUUUGGGAUGGAGUUGAAAUUUGAGUAGAAAGUUACAAAAAGAAAGAAAAACGAAAAAGAUUUGGUUUGGGUUCGUUAGGUGGAGAAGCAAGUCGAAUCCGCAUUCCCUUCCGUUUUCCACUGCUCUCUCUGCUCCGUCAUUUCCAACAAACUUGCGCGCUUCAUGGGCCCACUCGUUUUUUUAUUCUACUACAGAAUUUUUUUUUUUUAUUUCAGAAAUUUAAGCUAAUAUCUUCUGGUAAAAUUAUAGUUGAGAAUUGAGAUUUUUUGUAUCCACAUAUAAAUGUUUAAAUCUAAUUUUUUUAAUCAUUUGUCUUUAAAGUGAAAUUGAUUUUACAUAUUUUCAUUAGAGAUUGUAUAAUUCUAAGGUUUUUGACUAUUUAAUUCUUAAUAUUCAUACAAAUAGCAAUAUAUAUAUAUUUGAAUAAACAAUAAAUAAAUUUAAACUUAUAUGUGUGCUUUUAAGAUAAAAAAGAAAUUAUUUAAAAAAAAUGUAAAAGAAAGAGUAAGAUAAUAAAAAAUCUAUUUAAUAGAUAAUUAAUAUUAUAAUAAAUUGAGAUAAUCACAUAUCACUCAAAUAGAGUUCUGUUUCAAUACAAAAUUAGUAAUUCUAAACUGUACUAAAAGCCAAUAUCUCCGAUACUGUUUCUAAUAUGAUCUGCAAAUUGGGUCCAGUUUCUCAAGGAGAAGAACUUUAAGCAAACGAUACCCGCAGUGAAAAUAGAAGAGGGCGAACAGAUCACAUACGACAAGGCAACAGCAGCUUUGAGAAGGGCAGUCCAGUUCUUUUCGGCACUGCAGGCCAGUGAUGGUCAUUGGCCUGCUGAAAAUGCUGGGCCCUUGUUCUUCCUCCCUCCACUGGUUAUGUGCGUUUACAUAACGGGACAUUUGGACACCGUCUUCCCACCGGAGCAUCGCAAGGAAAUCCUUCGCUACAUAUACUACCAUCAGAAUCAAGAUGGUGGGUGGGGCCUGCACAUUGAAGGCCACAGCACCAUGUUCUGCACUGUUCUCAGCUACAUCUGUAUGCGUAUUCUUGGAGUUGGACCUGAUGGCGGUCAGGAUAAUGCCUGUGCCAGAGCCAGAACCUGGAUUCAUGACCACGGCGGCGUCACUUACAUACCCUCCUGGGGCAAGACUUGGCUCUCGGUACGUAAUAUAUUUCUAUCCAUCCAUCCAUCAUUCAUCAUCUCUUCUACAGUAUAUAUGUAUAUAUAAUCACAUGCUUGCUUUAAUUCACAGAUACUUGGUGUGUACGACUGGUCUGGAAGCAACCCAAUGCCUCCAGAAUUUUGGCUACUUCCUUCAUUCCUUCCAAUUUGUCCAGCGAAAAUGUGGUGCUACUGCCGGAUGGUUUACAUGCCAAUGUCUUAUUUGUAUGGGAAGAGGUUUGUUGGGCCAAUUACGCCUCUCAUUCUUGAAUUGAGACGAGAACUCCACACUCAACCUUAUCAUCAAAUCAAUUGGAAGAAAACACGCCACCUUUGUGCCCAAGUGAGCUAAUUAAUUUCCUCUUUCAAUUAAAUCAUUUAAUCAAUUAAACAUUAGCAUGAAAUUGCAAAUACAAAAUAAAUAAAUAAAUUGAAAAUUGAAACUGCAGGAGGACCUGUACUAUCCGCAUCCUUUGCUGCAAGACAUAAUGUGGGACACUCUUUACUUGUUCACGGAGCCUCUUCUGACUCGUUGGCCCUUUAGCAGCUUUAUCAGAAACAAAGCUCUUCAAGUCACCAUGAAACAUAUUCACUAUGAAGAUGAAAACAGCCGCUACAUAACCAUUGGAUGUGUGGAGAAGGUGCUAUGCAUGUUGGCUUGCUGGGUCGAAGACCCUGACGGCGAUUAUUUCAAGAAACACCUUGCUAGGAUUCCAGAUUAUCUUUGGGUUGCUGAGGAUGGAAUGAAAAUGCAGAGUUUUGGAAGCCAGCAGUGGGAUACUGGAUUUGCAAUUCAGGCACUGAUUGCUACUAAUUUUACACA
This 5509-nucleotide long non-coding RNA is filed under the name Jatropha curcas. RNAcentral's name for it is "long non-coding RNA (JCUR_LNC002872)". The record is from RNAcentral. Lineage: Eukaryota; Viridiplantae; Streptophyta; Magnoliopsida; Malpighiales; Euphorbiaceae.